RNAcentral lists this ribosomal RNA (423 nucleotides) under Salmonella enterica subsp. enterica serovar Minnesota str. A4-603. RNAcentral's name for it is "LSU rRNA". It matches the Rfam family "Bacterial large subunit ribosomal RNA", at positions 131 to 584 of the family's 2925-position model. The record is from RNAcentral. Lineage: Bacteria; Pseudomonadati; Pseudomonadota; Gammaproteobacteria; Enterobacterales; Enterobacteriaceae.
CACACACUUAAUUAAUUAAGUGUGUGNNNCAUUAACUGAAUCCAUAGGUUAAUGAGGCGAACCGGGGGAACUGAAACAUCUAAGUACCCCGAGGAAAAGAAAUCAACCGAGAUUCCCCCAGUAGCGGCGAGCGAACGGGGAGGAGCCCAGAGCCUGAAUCAGCAUGUGUGUUAGUGGAAGCGUCUGGAAAGGCGCGCGAUACAGGGUGACAGCCCCGUACACAAAAGCGCAUGUGCUGUGAGCUCGAUGAGUAGGGCGGGACACGUGGUAUCCUGUCUGAAUAUGGGGGGACCAUCCUCCAAGGCUAAAUACUCCUGACUGACCGAUAGUGAACCAGUACCGUGAGGGAAAGGCGAAAAGAACCCCGGCGAGGGGAGUGAAAAAGAACCUGAAACCGUGUACGUACAAGCAGUGGGAGCACCC